RNAcentral lists this ribosomal RNA (1419 nucleotides) under Hydrophilidae sp. SLE0101. RNAcentral describes it as "SSU rRNA". It matches the Rfam family "Eukaryotic small subunit ribosomal RNA", at positions 426 to 1761 of the family's 1831-position model. Lineage: Eukaryota; Metazoa; Arthropoda; Insecta; Coleoptera; Hydrophilidae. The record is from RNAcentral.
CAGCAGGCGCGCAAAUUACCCACUCCCGGCACGGGGAGGUAGUGACGAAAAAUAACGAUACGGGACUCAUCCGAGGCCCCGUAAUCGGAAUGAGUACACUCUAAACCCUUUAACGAGGAUCAAUUGGAGGGCAAGUCUGGUGCCAGCAGCCGCGGUAAUUCCAGCUCCAAUAGCGUAUAUNAAAGUUGUUGCGGUUAAAAAGCUCGUAGUCGAAUCUGUGUCUCGCGCCGCCGGUUCAUCGCUCGCGGUGUUUAACUGGCGUGCCGCGGGACGUCCUGCCGGUGGGCUUAGCCUUCGCGGGCGGCCCAACUUGAAAUCCCACCGCGGUGCUCUUCAUUGAGUGUCGAGGUGGGCCGGCACGUUUACUUUGAACAAAUUAGAGUGCUUAAAGCAGGCUCAAACUUCGCCUGAAUACUGUGUGCAUGGAAUAAUGGAAUAGGACCUCGGUUCUAUUUUGUUGGUUUUCGGAACCCCGAGGUAAUGAUUAAUAGGAACGGAUGGGGGCAUUCGUAUUGCGACGUUAGAGGUGAAAUUCUUGGAUCGUCGCAAGACGAACAGAAGCGAAAGCAUUUGCCAAAAACGCUUUCAUUGAUCAAGAACGAAAGUUAGAGGUUCGAAGGCGAUCAGAUACCGCCCUAGUUCUAACCAUAAACGAUGCCAGCUAGCGAUCCGCCGACGUUCCUCCGAUGACUCGGCGGGCAGCUUCCGGGAAACCAAAGCUUUUGGGUUCCGGGGGAAGUAUGGUUGCAAAGCUGAAACUUAAAGGAAUUGACGGAAGGGCACCACCAGGAGUGGAGCCUGCGGCUUAAUUUGACUCAACACGGGAAACCUCACCAGGCCCGGACACCGGAAGGAUUGACAGAUUGAGAGCUCUUUCUUGAUUCGGUGGGUGGUGGUGCAUGGCCGUUCUUAGUUGGUGGAGCGAUUUGUCUGGUUAAUUCCGAUAACGAACGAGACUCUAGCCUGCUAACUAGGCGUACUUUCGACAUCUCAAAGGCCCGCCGGCCCGGCUCGGUUCUCGGGACGUGGUCGCGCGCGGUUUUUACUGUCGGCGUACAAUCAAUUCUUCUUAGAGGGACAGGCGGCUUCUAGCCGCACGAGAUUGAGCAAUAACAGGUCUGUGAUGCCCUUAGAUGUUCUGGGCCGCACGCGCGCUACACUGAAGGAAUCAGCGUGUCCUCCCUGGCCGAGAGGCCCGGGUAACCCGCUGAACCUCCUUCGUGCUAGGGAUUGGGGCUUGCAAUUGUUCCCCAUGAACGAGGAAUUCCCAGUAAGCGCGAGUCAUAAGCUCGCGUUGAUUACGUCCCUGCCCUUUGUACACACCGCCCGUCGCUACUACCGAUUGAAUGAUUUAGUGAGGUCUUCGGACCGGUACGCGGUGGCGCCUCGGCGUCGCCGAUGUUGCUGGGAAGAUGACCA